GUAAAUUCAGCGAUGAAAUGACGUGAGAGGCACAUGUGGCUCUACAUCGGAUCAAGAAUCACUCAAGAGAGCCAUACUUUGUUUUUCAUUCCUUUGGUUUGUGCGUCAAUGAGCCACAAGGUUCUGAGGGUUGAUCUGAGAUGUCCCACAAUGCAUUCACAGAGAGACAGGAAGAUCAAAGAGAAGAAUGAAAGUCUGACUCACUCGUGUGCUACAUUGAAACAACCAUCAGAGAAGUUCGAGAUUCUGCUUCGGUGAAAUACAAUCCAUUACAACACUUGCAGGCGAUGGAUGGUUUGCUGGAAGUUUAACUUUAAGAUGAAAACAGGCCUAGAGAGUCUCAACUGCAACUGUGAGGUUGAAGUCAUUUCCCUGUGAGGGGUGUUGGGUCCCUGGAGGGGGCAGCUCUAAUGAGACCCGAUCUGUGGCUAGUUGCUCCAUGGCUCAUCAGACGCAUUCAUCACUCUGGUGUGUAUUCAUCUUCUCAGAGGCUCAGAGUGUGUCAUGAGGCUUGAAAGCUGCCAU
Molecule: long non-coding RNA, 525 nt
Organism: Carassius auratus (goldfish)
Lineage: Eukaryota; Metazoa; Chordata; Actinopteri; Cypriniformes; Cyprinidae
Exons: 3
Source: RefSeq, a predicted model, not a curated record